Molecule: RNA transcript, 9167 nt
Organism: Diabrotica virgifera virgifera (western corn rootworm)
Lineage: Eukaryota; Metazoa; Arthropoda; Insecta; Coleoptera; Chrysomelidae
Gene: nudE
Gene name: nuclear distribution protein nudE homolog 1
Exons: 9
Source: RefSeq, a predicted model, not a curated record
ACUUGAAAGCUAUUGUUUUAGUGUAUUUUCUCUUGUAGUGUUGGCAAUAAAAAAUUAUCCAUUAUGAGUCAUAUGUCUAUUUGCCAUCUGUCAAACAUCAAAAGAAAACAAGAUUUUGACGUUAGUUUUAGGUAUUCUGCAUUUGGAAUGAACUUUUUAAUUCUGAAACAAUAAUACCAAAUAAUAAAGAUGAGUGCGAGUGACGAACCGAUAUUUUCCAAUAAAGAUGAGGAAAUUUUGUACUGGAAGCAUUUGGCUGCAGAAUAUCUACAAGAUGCACAGAGAAUACAGAAAGAAUCUGAUGAAUUUAUAGUGGAAUCUCAACAAUUGGACCGAGAAUAUGAAGCAACUAUAGACCAAGAUGAAAAAAAGAUUAGAGAACUGACAUUAGCAAAUAACAAAGCUCAGAAUGAAAUUGAAUCAUUAAGAAACAAACUAGAACAAAGUAAUAAAGAAAUAGGUAGCUUACAAAAUGAAGUACAGAAUAUAAAGACAGAGAAACUACAGAUGUCCCAGUAUAUUAGAGAUUUAGAACAGAAAAAUGAUGACCUAGAAAGGGCCAGGAGAAUUAUAGAAGAAAGCAUAGCAGGUAUAGAAACUGCCUUUAAUUCUGCAGUGGAAAGAAAUGCUAUAUUAGAAUCAGAAGUUGAUGAAAAAGAAGGCCUUAAAGAAAAGUUACAGAGAUUAGCAGAUGAAACUAGAGAUUUAAAACAAGAACUUUCAGUUAAAGAAAAAGAAAGGGGACCCGACAACGAACGAAUAUUAAACGGUUUUCAAAAGGCCAUCAUGGAUUCGAAUCGACUCAAAGAAAAUGAGACCCAAACCACCCCAGCAAAACAUGAUUAUCAAGCUCCCAUAUCACCAGCAUCGAGGGUUAUGGCAUUGAAUAUUGUUAGUGACCUUAUUAGGAAGAUUGGAUUGACGAAAUGGCUGUGUUCGGAGUGUGGGCUGGUUAAAUGUACCUCGUGUGUGCCCAGCAGUCGAAAUAAUGGCACCUGUAAGGUGGAGAUACCGAGGGUUUAGAACGUAGAUUAGAAAAAUCGAAGUACGACUACAGAGAUCUUUCUACAAACGAUAAUAUUCGAAGGAGCAGGAGUUCGACAAAAAACAGCCCGUCUCCCAGUCUUCAAGGUGUUACGAAAUGAGAAGAACUAAUCUUUGUAAUUAAUACUUAUAUAAGAUAAUCAGUUAUAAAUAGGUGACAUUAUGUCGUAGAAAGGCGACUUACAAAAAACCACAUUUUCGUCUAAAAGAAUUAGAAUAGGUAAAGUAAGUGUACAAUACAGUGGCGGCACGUAAAGGUGGAUAGAUAUAUUGAUGUCUUCUCUAUAUUGUUCACAGUUUAGAAGUUUUUGGGAAAUAAAUUUGAUUUUUGCAUGGAAAUCCUUGAAAUUAUCACGGAAACAGACGUAUGGUAUGGUACAUCGGGGCAGGGCCCACUUGUGAGCCCUUCGGACACUUAGACCUCCUACGGCGGGUCCAUUGUACCCCUAUCUUACGGACCAGGUCCAUAAGAACCUGGUCUUCGGCGUUCCUGGAUCCCAGGCUGCACCAGGCUCCCAUGUCUGUCAGAAUCAGCAGGGUCUGCAAAUCUGAGCUCCUGCCGAUGCUAUCCCGAACGUCGAAUCUCCCAAAAACCUUAUGGCCUCACCUCACCUGGCUCGGCUGCAUAGAUGCCGAUCCCAGGAUCUGCCACCUCUGAUAGGCCAAUGCCGGGCAUUCCCAGAGGACAUCUGAGGAGGUUUCCUUCUCCUCAUUGUAAUCCAAGCAGACGAAGGUGCUGUCGGAGUCUACGGUGGCCGGUGAGCAUACUGACCACCAGGGAGCAUCUUCUACGAUAUCUAGAAGAAGCAGUUGGACUGCGACUUUUGGAUGCGUCUACGGGAACAGACACCUUAUUCUUCUCUAGAGUAUUUCGGACUUUAUGUUCCAACAUUUAAAGUGUGGUAGGUGUUGAAGUUGGUAAUCAGGUAUUGGACAGACUACUGAUUCGAGAGAUAUCUGGGUAUUCUUUUUCUCAUAGGCAUCUUUCAGUGCGUCACAGUUUUUCGAUUUCUUUCUAACGCAUUAAAUUGUAUGCGACAGAAAAAAAAGCACAUCCGUGAUUACAGACAUUUAUAACAUUUAUUCUAGUUGUCGAUAUAUGGCGCUAUAAUCGAAAAAAAAAAAAUUAUUUACGAAUUAUAUAAUAUAUCUACUAAUAUAAUCUGUACAAUUUAUAAGACUAUACAAAUCAAAGAAAAUACCAUUUCGUAAAUGCAAUAAACACAAUUGAUUUGUUUUUAUGCCAAAUUGCAAAUAAAAUGUGACAACUGCCACAUUUAACUAAAAUGUCAUGUUAGAAUAAAUGUUAUAAAUGUGUAUUAUCACGGACUUACCUUUUUUUCUAUCAUUUGUGACGCACUGAAAAAUGCCCAUGAAAAGGAUCAUACCUUUCCCAAUCAGUAAAGAAAGUAGGUGGGACCUGAAAAAUUAAAUUUACGGAUUAAAAACGCCAUUUUGGCGGGUUUUUCCCUCCCAGGCUUUAAGAAUUCAAUUUUAGAGCAUUUGAAAUUAAUUCGUGCCGAUAAAAUAGGGCGGGACUGCUGGAGACACAUUUGUCCGAAUAGUGAUCAUUUUGUGCUUCGCAGGUAAAUGUACAAAGUCCAAUAAUGACUCAUUUUAUAGGAGUAACGCUCAUGUAAUGAAAUUCGACAUCUUUUCUGUUUGUCUAAUAUUACGAGCAUUACAGUCCUUUAUACAGAGUGAGUUUUAUGUAUGGAACGCCUCAAUGAUCUUGGAAACGGUUUGCACAAUUUUUAUAGAUUUUUGGUGUGUAGGGGUCUUGUGAUGCGGCCGAUAGUAAGUUGGUAUUUACAUUGUUGUCAGAUCUUCCGUUUUUCUGGAAAUGUAAUGAACUUUCUUAGUUCAAAAGUCCUUGAGAAAUACUGAUUCUGUUUGUGUAAUGUAAUGUUACCUAUACCUAAAUACCAUAAUUUUGGAGCUAUAGCUACAUUUACAAGUUAAAAUUCAUUGGCACUUUCAUUGUGUGAUGACACACGCAUAUGAAUCGCUGACGAAGACAAGAGCAGUUUCCUCUAAAUAUUAAAAAAAUGAUCAGACAGAAUAUAUAUACUGAAACUGUUUCGAAAAGCCGCCACUGAUUCUAUUAUCUUGAUAUAACACGUAGCAUCCAUUAUAUUGAUACUCCUGAAACAACAAUUUAUCAGCUAGAUAGUUUAAUCUAGGCCCAACUUUGAUCUAAUAUAGUUCAUAUUCAAAAGCUUUGUACAUAUGAUAUAUAAUACACAAUUCUUAUCUAAAAUUAGAAACUACUGUUUUAUCUAGUACCUACUUAGUACUACACUCGUAAGAAAACAAAAUAAAACAUAAAUGUACUCAAUUUACUUCCGGAACAACAUUAUGUGGUAAAAAAUUAAACGUUACAGAAAAAAAGGACUGUGAUGUCUUUAAAAUACAAGAGAUGUUAUUAAGACACUUAUUACGAAUACUUGAUGUAAGGAACAUCUCUCUUUUUUUCUUCAUUCUUCAUCACUUAUAUUAGAAGGAUCAUAAAACUUAUUCAUUCAAAAUUUUUUAAACAGAUCACUUUUAAUGAAAUACCACUCAUUUAAAGCUAUAAAAAACUUAAAAGCGAUUAGGACGCUAGAUGGCAGCAGCAGGCGCAAAAUAGCUUAUACCUCUAAUUUUUUUACAUAUAUUUUUACGAUUCUUUUGAUUUAUGUACACAAUGACACUAACAUCCCUGGUGUUUUAGAAAUAUCAUGUAACGUUCGCCACACUCAUGUGGUUGUAGAUUGAAAAACUGGGACAAUGUCCAGAAUACGCUCCGGUGAAGAUAGCUACAAAUGAUGAAUGACAACGAAAUAUUGAAAUCAUUAGUCAAUGGACCGUGAUAGUGUGACGUCAAAACGUGAAAAAGGUUUCCAAACAAAGCAACUGUCAAUUGAUUAUACACGUGGUUUGUGUAAUCAUUUUUAAUUUUAUUUGGUUUUAACAAACAUCUGCACAUUUUUUCUAAAGACACAAUCCUUGUUAGUCAUAUCAAUCAUAUUGCUUUUAAUUUUAUAAAUGUCCUUACACAUAAUCAAGAAUUUACACGCUACAUAGUACUUACUGCGUUUCUUCAGGUUUUUAACCAGUCCUAUUUGGAAUUAUGGUGGGAAAUAUACUAUGAGCAUUGAUUACAAUCACGGGUACCCAACACAUUACCAUUUUGUAAAAAUUAAAUAUCCUACAAGCAAUAUAUUCCAAUUAUAAAAACGAAAGCAAACACCAUUUGUGAAUUUUUGCUUUGUUUGGAAAACUUUUCAGAGUAGCCAACAUUGAUUUGAAGUCACGACUAUCACGGUCCAUUAUUAAACUUGAAAAACAUAAAAUCGUAAAAUAACGAGAAACAUUUUUCAUUUUCUUAGUGCAAAAUAAGUUAAUAGGUAUAUAUUUUUAGUUUGUUAUUAUCUAUAAUAUGAAAAUAAGCCACAAUCCUUAAUAUGUUUUAACAUUUGAAUAAGGUCAUGUAUAGUAUUUUUACUACAAAAGCGAUAUUACGUAGGUCAAAAUUUUUGACGUAAGAGAACUGUCAAAACAUUAGAAUGUGACUUUUCAUUCGCUUUUGUAGUAAAAAUACUAUAAUCGUUUUCUUUCAUUAAAUUAAAUAAUAUUAAUUAAUGUGACCUUUAUUUCUUUAUUAUUUUAUUAUUCUUCAGUUUAUUUUAAAAUAUUUAAGAUUCUCUGUUUUUUGGCCCUUGAUGCAAGUUUUGGCUCAACACACAGAGUAAACAUUUUUAAAUUUAACAUUUUGUGAAUUCAUAUUUAGGAACAUUCAUCCCAAAAUAAUAAAUAAAUGGUCAUAAAAUUGAUAUCUGUUGAACAUAAUAUGUGGCAAUUUGACAACUGGGGUUUUGAGAGUUCAGGCUCUAUUGCCAAAUUUAUCCGUUAAUCUAUCAAAGGGUAAUUGCCAAACAUUUUUUUAAUAAUUAAAUUGCACAUAUCAUUGCAAUAUCCAUAAAAUAAUAUAAUAAAAAUGUACUUUUUCAAAGCUUUCUCUCUGUAUAUUUGAAGCAUACAACUUACACAUUAUACGCUGUGAGCUCGUACGUAGAGGGGAUAUUUAAAAAUUCGCGAGCGCUAGUAGUGACAAGUCUGUAAAUGUUUACUGGAAAUUUGACAUAAAUGUCAAAGUGAUUAAUUUAAAAUUAAAAUUAAAAACAUCAAUUAUAAAAAAUAUUAGUUGGUCAAAGCUGUGGUAUAUAUUUUUACCUUAAAUAUACUUACGUUUUAAAUACUGAAUUUAAGUUUUUUAAUGUUCCGUAAUAUGUAAUUAUAAAUUAAUCUAUUAAUCUUGGCGCCAUCUACACGAUAAUUGUAAAAGUAUCCGAAGUAAGAAAUUAAUAUUUCAUCAAUAGAACGUCAAAAUGAUUAGCAAAAUCUUAAAAAAAUCGAUUACAAUUUAAUUACUUUUUUGCGUUGUAAAUAUUAAGCGAUAACAAUUAAAUAAUAAAUUUAAAAAUUACCAGUGAAAGUUGAAUUAGUCAUCCGCUAGGAGCGACACCAGCGAAGCUCAGAGCGUAUAAGGACAUGGCAGCACUGCCAUACGCAGGUAUUUCGUUCUGUGGUCAUCAUUUGUAACUAUCUUCACCGGAACCUAUUCAGGACCCCGAUUUUUGACCCUUCGCUUCGUUAUCGAUCAUUCGCUAUCUGUAUCUGUAGAGUGUACAGAUAGCGAAUGGUCGAUAACGAAGCGAAGGGUCAAAAAUCGGGAUCCUUGCCAUUGCCCAAAAACGGAUACUGCUGUGUAUAUUAUUAUUAUUUUUGUCUGUAAGUAUCGUAAAGUGUUUCUACGACAUAAUGUAUUAUUAGGAAUAUUUGAUUAUAUUCAACCUUCAAAAAUUCCGUUGAUAUGCGUCGAAUAUCAACGCGAAUUUUCUGAUCCAGUCGUCAAUGGUGUUUAUUUUUUUAUGUCACGCAAUUAUGACAUAAAUCAAGUAAUUUAUUGUUGUAUAUUUAAUUUUUUUUUUACUUAGGUUGCCAGUGAAAUUUGGCAAGAUCCAAAUUUAGGUUUAGUCGUAAUUAAAGGAUAGUCAGUAGUAAUUAAAUACAGAAAAUAAUUAUUUAAAGACGAUCUUUUCGAUUUUCGAUCGUAUUUCAUAAGUAUGUACAAGUUUUUUUCUACAGUUACAGUUACACUAAUAAUUUACAUUUGUAUGUGUGCUUUAAUUUUUGCUUCGAUGAGAUUUCUCAGUUUUCUGAGGUGUAACUCAUCUGUUGUGUUGAUACAUUCGGAAUGUUUUUCCAUCUCAGCGGCCUCCCGAAGAAUACUUGGUUCGAGAAAACCAAUCAUAACUUCCUGAGCUAUGUUCCAGGUACUCUGUGAGUAUUUUUCAGAAUAAGUGAAAAUUAUGUUAUUAAAUUUUUACAAUACAAUUUGCAGAUAAUUCAAGAUACCGGUUGUUCAAUCACUUUUUAUUUGAGUUGCUCCUGAUAUCCUGUUUCUAGGUUGGGCUUGGUAGAACUCCCUUUUUCAUUCUACUUUCUCCAAUUAAUUUUCUAACACCUUCUAAACUGAUGUAACUGUGAUUUUUAAACUGAAUUGUAGAAAAAUAUUUGUAUUAUGUAAAAAUAAUGCAGGAUGUUCAGGCUUAUAUUAUUACUGAAGAAAAUAAAUCACAGUUUACUCUUGUACCUAAAUCAUUUUUAAACUUGUGAAAGUCACAUUUAUGACGAAACGUCGUAUCAUUAUCCUUUGUCAAUUGUCAAAUGUCAGUUGUCGCUUGUCUAUAUUAAGGCAUUUUUGGAUCUACAGAACGUCCUGCAUGUUAUAUUUGGUGUGAUACUCUAGGUGUAUAUAACGAGUUGUAUUUUUUUAAACAAAAAUGUAAUUUAUAAUAAUUAUUUUAACCUGUUUUUGUAAUUUGGAUAUUGCUUAAAUUUUCGUAUUAUUUAGUUGAUCUAUUUUGAGAAAGGCGACGGAAAUUUAGUUGUAAUUUGUAAUAAAAGCGAUAUAAUUUCUUAAUCUUUGUUAUAAUAACCGGGACUAUAAUUGUUUCGAAAAAUAUGAGUUGUUUAAUGGUCUGAAAAAUAGCGAACGGAUCGAAAUAAAGGUACAGUGUUAGCGUGUUACGUUUAAAAUCGGAAAUAGUCACAUGGGCUUAAAUCUGCCAAACACGGUGGAUGGUGCAUUAAUUCUUAUCCUAAAUUAUAUAUUGUCUAUACAAGAGGAUCACAAUUCUAGUGACAACUAACAUGCUGAUGGCAUUAGUGACUUUUACUUUAAUACAAACGCUUCUGUCCAAUAACACGAUUCGCUCGCUGUUUAUCAGAUUUCCAAUUAUUGAGAGUAACAUAGUUCCCUAAAUGUGUAUUUAGACGUAUACGAUUUAUAAAAAAUAAAAAAAUAUAGCGAAAGUAAAAUUAUUAAAACAAUUCAUGAAGACCCACUCCUAACCACCUUUUUAUUCAACUUUUUUUAGCAUCUAGCCCGAAAAUUAUCCAGAGUUAGAUUAUGUGGAUAUUUUGAAACUUUAUAAGAUGCGACACCAGUUAUUUAGUGUAAAAGACUUUUUGAAAUUCGAAAAAUGAAGUUUCUAGCUGUCAAUUUCAUUAGAUGACGCAUUUUGACCAUUAAGAACCGUACUAGAGGUCACUUGUGCCAACUUUGAAACGAAAUCACUUUUGGACACAGUGUAAGAACACAAAGUGUUUUUAUUUUUGUACGCGCCAACAUAUAUCGUAAACAUUUGCCAAGGAAGCAAAGGUUAUACAACUUGAUAUCACGGAGAAUAUAAAUUGAUUGGAGAGCAUACUUAUAACAUGAUCCACAGAAAAAUUUUUAGGUAAAUGAAGUGUAAAAUAAAGUAAUUUUCAAUUAUGCUUCAGUAACUCUUUAUAACACUUCAAGAAGGUAUAAACAUAACAUUUUUGAUUCCAUUUUUACAGAUUCCAAAAAUGUGCUGACGUUUUUUACUUUCGCACGUACUGACGACAAGAUCUCUUGCGGUUGUUCGAUCUGUCUCUCUCUCUCUCUCUCUCUCUCUCUCUCUCCCACCAAAAAGAGACGCUAUUAUACUUGAUGUAAAACAGAGACGCAAUGAACAACGAAAAACGAUGGCGUCGUAUGUCCGAAAAACCAGUGACACCAAUAUGGAGACUUUUGGUAGAUGUCAAACUAAGUUUGGAGACUAUGUGCAGCCUAAGUCUGACGUCACAAAUGUCACAAAAUUGGGAGGAGCUUAUAUUGAAUCCAAACAAUUUUGUUUGUAACGUUAAAUUGACAUAAGGAAUUUUUCAUUUAUGUGCUUUGUGUGGCAAAAUAAGACUUCAUUUAGGUCUUUCGUUAAAGAAACGUGUUAAUAAAGAGAUUUUUAUUCGUUUUUGCUCAGGUGGUUUUUAUUCCUUAGUGGUUGAAAAUAAACAUAACCUCAAAACUGUUUACGUUCUUAUCAUUGCAUUAAAUUAACUCACCUGGGCAAAAACGAAUAAAAAUCUCUUAACUGACACGUUUCUUUAACUAAAUACCUAAAUGAAAAGUCUUAUUUUGUCACACAAAUCACGUAAACAAUAAAUGAAAAAUUCCUUAUGAGUGUUUAACCUUAUAAACAAAAUUGUUUGGAGUCAAAUAUAAGCUCCUCCCAAUUUUGUGACGUCAAGACUUAGGCUACGGCUCCACGGGCGAGAAAUUGACGCUAGCAGUAGCCGUAAAACGAACUUAAGGUUCCGCGGAACGAAAUAGGAGUAGCCGAACUGAACCGACUACGCACAAGUCGUGUAGUCGGUACAGUUCGGCUAUUCCUAUUCCGUUCCGCGGAACCUUAAGUUCGUUUUACGGCUACUGCUAGUGUCAAUUUCUCGCCCGUGGAGCCGUAGCCUUAGGAUGUCCAUUUAGCAUACCUUCUGUUCAUUUUAUAUUCUUCGUGAUAAUUGUACAAAUGGUGUCCAUCUACUAUUUAUUUUAAGCUUUAAGAGAAGUGAAUGUAAAUAUAAAAAUUAUCAUUUAUAUUAUCUUUUUUGUACACGUCUAUUGACACUAUUUAUACAUAAGCGCUCUCUGUGUACAUAGAAAUUGUUUGUUUUUAUAUUAGGUACAAAUUGUAAUAAUUUAAGAUAUACUUACUACAUUCAGUUGUGUAUAUUCAGGCAUUUAGUAUGAAAAAUAAAACGAAUGGUAACGA